This 419-nucleotide ribosomal RNA is filed under the name uncultured bacterium. Its description in RNAcentral is "bacterial SSU rRNA". It matches the Rfam family "Bacterial small subunit ribosomal RNA", at positions 358 to 776 of the family's 1533-position model. The record is from RNAcentral.
GGAAUAUUGCGCAAUGGAGGAAACUCUGACGCAGCCACGCCGCGUGCAGGAUGACACCCCUAUGGGGCGUAAACUGCUUUUAUGUGAGAAGAAAACCCGACUCGGUCGGGCCUGACGGUAUCACAGGAAUAAGCACCGGCUAACUCCGUGCCAGCAGCCGCGGUAAUACGGAGGGUGCAAGCGUUGUCCGGAAGCACUGGGUGUAAAGGGUGUGUAGGCGGGACUGUAAGUCAGAGGUGAAAUCCCACGGCUCAACCGUGGAACUGCCUUUGAUACUGCAGUUCUUGAGUAUCGGAGAGGUUGCUGGAAUUCGUGGUGUAGCGGUGAAAUGCGUAGAUAUCACGAGGAACACCAGAGGCGUAGGCGGGCAACUGGACGAUAACUGACGCUGAGGCACGAAAGCGUGGGGAGCAAACAGG